UGGCCAGACUCCUACGGGAGGCAGCAGUGGGGAAUAUUGCACAAUGGGGGAAACCCUGAUGCAGCAACGCCGCGUGGGUGAAGGAGCGUUUCGGCGCGUAAAGCCCUGUCAGCGGGGAAGAAGAAAGACGGUACCCGACCAAGAAGCCCCGGCUAACUACGUGCCAGCAGCCGCGGUAAUACGUAGGGGGCGAGCGUUAUCCGGAUUCACUGGGUGUAAAGGGAGCGUAGACGGCCGUGCAAGCCAGGAGUGAAAGCCCGGGGCCCAACCCCGGGACUGCUCUUGGAACUGUGCGGCUAGAGUGCGGGAGGGGCAGGCGGAAUUCCUGGUGUAGCGGUGAAAUGCGUAGAUAUCAGGAGGAACACCGGCGGCGAAGGCGGCCUGCUGGACCGCGACUGACGUUGAGGCUCGAAAGCGUGGGGAGCGAACAGGAUUAGAUACCCUAGUAC
RNAcentral lists this ribosomal RNA (449 nucleotides) under uncultured bacterium. RNAcentral describes it as "partial 16S ribosomal RNA". It matches the Rfam family "Bacterial small subunit ribosomal RNA", at positions 328 to 793 of the family's 1533-position model. The record is from RNAcentral.